CCAAAACUUGUAAAUCCUUUGAUAAUACUCCCUCCACGUCAUCUUAGUUCUCCCCCUUCCCCUACUAACUUAUCACACUUCCAUAGUGGCCUACUGGGGCCUAGGGCAUUUGAUUCUCUACGUUGGACAUGACCAAACCAUUUUAAUCGAUCCUCUGUUAAGAAUAAAGCUUUUCCUUCCUGAAUGCAAUCUGAUUACCAGUCCAGUAAAAGAAUGAUGCUUCUAAUGGGGAAGAUACUUCUCGAUCUAAUGAUAUUAUCAUACCAGUGUUUACAAAUAUUUGUAUACUCAACUCAAUUCAAUUCAACUAAGCCUUUAUCCUAAAAAUUAUUGGAGUUGGCUAUAUGGAUUCUCUUUCUGCACUCUAAGAACUCUAAGCGAUUUUGGGUUAAAUCUUCAGAA
This 402-nucleotide unclassified non-coding RNA is filed under the name Hevea brasiliensis (rubber tree). The record is from RNAcentral. Lineage: Eukaryota; Viridiplantae; Streptophyta; Magnoliopsida; Malpighiales; Euphorbiaceae.